This 402-nucleotide ribosomal RNA is filed under the name uncultured bacterium. RNAcentral's name for it is "bacterial SSU rRNA". It matches the Rfam family "Bacterial small subunit ribosomal RNA", at positions 355 to 774 of the family's 1533-position model. The record is from RNAcentral.
UGGGGAAUCUUGCACAAUGGGGGCAACCCUGAUGCAGCGACGCCGCGUGAGCGAUGAAGCCCUUCGGGGCGUAAAGCUCUUUCGACCGGAACGAUAAUGACGGUACCGGGAGAAGAAGCCGCGGCUAACUACGUGCCAGCAGCCGCGGUAAUCCGUAGGCAGCAAGCGUUGUUAGGAGUUACUGGGCGUAAAGAGUGCGUAGGCGGUUUUCUAAGUUCGGUGUGAAAUCUCCCGGCUUAACUGGGGGGGUGCGCCGAAGACUGGGAAGCUGGAGUGUGGGAAAGGCGGGCGGAAUUCCUGGUGUAGCGGUGAAAUGCGUAGAUAUCAGGAGGAACACCGGCGGUGUAGACGGCUUGCUAGACCAUAACUGACGCUGAGGCACGAAAGCGUGGGUAGCAAACA